This 497-nucleotide ribosomal RNA is filed under the name uncultured bacterium. RNAcentral describes it as "partial 16S ribosomal RNA". It matches the Rfam family "Bacterial small subunit ribosomal RNA", at positions 28 to 507 of the family's 1533-position model. The record is from RNAcentral.
GAUGAACGCUGGCGGCGUGCCUAAUACAUGCAAGUCGAGCGAACAGACGAGGAGCUUGCUCCUCUGACGUUAGCGGCGCACGUGAGAGUAACACGUGUAUAACCUACCUAUAAGACUGGUAUAACUUCGGGAAACCGGAGCUAAUACCGGAUAAUAUCUUGAACCGCAUGGUUCAUUAGUGAAAGACGGUUUUUGUGUAUCUUAUCGCUGGAUCCGCGCCGCAUUAGCUAGUUGGUAAGGUAACGGCUUACCAAGGCAACGAGGCGUAGGCGAGCGGUGGGAGUGAUCGGCCACACUGGAACUGAGACACGGUCCAGAGUACUACGGGAGGCAGCAGUAGGGAAUCUUCCGCAGUGGGCGAGAGCCUGACGGAGCGAGGCCGCGUGAGUGAUGAAGGUCUUCGGAUCGUAAAACUCUGUUAUUAGGUAAGAACAAAUGUGUAAGUAACUAUGCACGGCUUGACGGUACCUAAUCAGAAAGCCACGGCUAACUACGUG